RNAcentral lists this ribosomal RNA (403 nucleotides) under Fusobacteriota bacterium. RNAcentral's name for it is "Fusobacteria bacterium partial 16S ribosomal RNA". It matches the Rfam family "Bacterial small subunit ribosomal RNA", at positions 355 to 776 of the family's 1533-position model. The record is from RNAcentral. Lineage: Bacteria; Fusobacteriati; Fusobacteriota.
UGGGGAAUCUUGCACAAUGGGGGAAACCCUGAUGCAGCGACGCCGCGUGAGCGAUGAAGGUUUUCGAAUCGUAAAGCUCUGUCCUAUGGGAAGAUAAUGACGGUACCAUGGGAGGAAGCCCCGGCUAACUACGUGCCAGCAGCCGCGGUAAUACGUAGGGGGCGAGCGUUGUCCGGAAUUACUGGGCGUAAAGGGUUCGCAGGCGGCAUGGCAAGUCCGAUGUAAAAGGCGAAGGCUCAACCUUCGUAAGCAUCGGAAACUGUCAAGCUUGAGUGAAGGAGAGGCAAGUGGAAUUCCUAGUGUAGCGGUGGAAUGCGUAGAUAUUAGGAGGAAUACCGGUGGCGAAGGCGACUUGCUGGACUUCAACUGACGCUGAGGAACGAAAGCGUGGGUAGCAGACAGG